Molecule: ribosomal RNA, 465 nt
Filed under: Vreelandella stevensii
Lineage: Bacteria; Pseudomonadati; Pseudomonadota; Gammaproteobacteria; Oceanospirillales; Halomonadaceae
Description: partial 16S ribosomal RNA
Rfam family: Bacterial small subunit ribosomal RNA
Source: RNAcentral
CCUACGGGUGGCUGCAGUGGGGAAUAUUGGACAAUGGGCGAAAGCCUGAUCCAGCCAUGCCGCGUGUGUGAAGAAGGCCUUCGGGUUGUAAAGCACUUUCAGUGGGGAAGAAAGCCUUGGGGCUAAUACCCUCGAGGAAGGACAUCACCCACAGAAGAAGCACCGGCUAACUCCGUGCCAGCAGCCGCGGUAAUACGGAGGGUGCGAGCGUUAAUCGGAAUUACUGGGCGUAAAGCGCGCGUAGGCGGUCUGAUAAGCCGGUUGUGAAAGCCCCGGGCUCAACCUGGGAACGGCAUCCGGAACUGUCAGGCUAGAGUGCAGGAGAGGAAGGUAGAAUUCCCGGUGUAGCGGUGACAUGCGUAGAGAUCGGGAGGAAUACCAGUGGCGAAGGCGGCCUUCUGGACUGACACUGACGCUGAGGUGCGAAAGCGUGGGUAGCAAACAGGAUUAGAUACCCCUGUAGUC